AAGGUGGCUUAUGCCACUGCUAUGGAUUGGUUCAUAGCCGUGUGUUAUGCGUUU
Molecule: non-coding RNA, 54 nt
Filed under: Podarcis lilfordi (Lilford's wall lizard)
Lineage: Eukaryota; Metazoa; Chordata; Lepidosauria; Squamata; Lacertidae
Rfam family: Editing element of GABA-3 exon 9
Source: RNAcentral